UGGUGCCAGCAGCCGCGGUAAUUCCAGCUCCAAUAGCGUAUAUUAAAGUUGUUGCAGUUAAAAAGCUCGUAGUUGAAUUUCGGGAUUAGUGCGCCGGUCGUGCCUUCGGUAUGUACUGGUGUUACUGGUUCCUACCUUCUGACGAACCGUCAUGUCAUUAAUUUGGUGUGGCGGGGAAUCAGGACUGUUACUUUGAAAAAAUUAGAGUGUUUAAAGCAGGCUCGCGCUUGAAUACAUUAGCAUGGAAUAAUGAAAUAGGACGUUCGAUCCUAUUUUGUUGGUUUCUAGGAUUGACGUAAUGAUUAAUAGGGAUAGUUGGGGGCAUUAGUAUUCAAUUGUCAGAGGUGAAAUUCUUGGAUUUAUUGAAGACUAACUACUGCGAAAGCAUUUGCCAAGGAUGUUUUCAUUAAUCAAGAACGAAAGUUAGGGGAUCGAAGACGAUCAGAUACCGUCGUAGUCUUAACCAUAAACUAUGCCGACUAGGGA
This 486-nucleotide ribosomal RNA is filed under the name uncultured Glomus. RNAcentral describes it as "SSU rRNA". It matches the Rfam family "Eukaryotic small subunit ribosomal RNA", at positions 562 to 1052 of the family's 1831-position model. Lineage: Eukaryota; Fungi; Glomeromycota; Glomeromycetes; Glomerales; Glomeraceae. The record is from RNAcentral. RNAcentral also lists the same sequence under 1 other name.